RNAcentral lists this long non-coding RNA (393 nucleotides) under Mytilus galloprovincialis (Mediterranean mussel). Lineage: Eukaryota; Metazoa; Mollusca; Bivalvia; Mytilida; Mytilidae. The record is from RNAcentral.
CGCCAGAUCUAAUUUCUUUCAAUAUAGCUAGGUUUUUAAUUUUACAUGUAGGUGUCAUUAUCCACAUUUCUGAAUUGUUUUUUUUUUACUGCAGUAAUAUUUUGUCUUUUAAUAUUUACAUUUAGUCCUUCUCUGAAAAAUAGGGGGAAGUAUCUCUUCUUUAUAUUAUCAUAACAUAGUUAUAAAUCGAGUUUCGUUUAUUUUCUUUCUAAUUUUUGUAAAGUAAACUCCUUUUUUUAAUUUUUAUGCAUUUUGCUGGGUUUUUAUUUUUGACUGGUGAUAUUAAGGGGAGAUAACCACUUGCACAAAUCGGCAUAAAAACCACCGCUUCGGUUUGAAAUCAAUUUGACGUUUGCGUAUCCAACAUUCUAUUGCCGAGAUAUUCAUAUCGAG